UAACACCUGGGUCUUUAUGGUCAUAAUGGUCACCCACCUUGGUUAUCCAGUUUGGUGAUGACGGUCAACCAGCAACAGGUUUUAAGCCUAACUGGCCUCCAGGGGCCUCUUUGCCUGUAACGCUCGAACCCCGUAAAUCGCCGCUUGCGGCUAUAUUUAUUAUUCUUAUUCUUUUUCUGCCAUAGAAGUGAUUGGGCAGAAGAAACCGUAAGGCCUACAGGGCUGAGACUUGGUCAUAUGGUAGUACUUCUCACCGCUACUCAGAUUCAAAACAUGAGCCCGAUCGGCCUCAAGGGGGCGCUAUGGCGAAGGUCAACGCGUUAGGCCACGUAACUCCCACGCCCUGAUAGCUAGAUCAAAAAUUCUUGCAUUAUAUGAUUCCUUGGUUAAUGGAAAAUCAAAAAGGUCAAUAGAACCACUAAGCUCCGCCCACUUAGAUUUUUUGCUAUUUAGCAUAAUAUGCAAAACCUACUUUUGAGAACUUGUCCUAGGGUCAUUGACCAAUCCUGUCAUAUUUGGUGUCAAACAACUCAACAGAGUCCCAACCUUAAUAAUUAUCAAAAAAAUUGUGAAAUUUGUAAACAAUAUGGCCGCCAUAUGCAAAUUAAUCUUACCGUAGCACACCUAAAUUUACUCUAACAGCUGUAACUUUUGAAUGCUUAAACCGACACUAAUGCCACUUUAGACCUUUGAUGCCAACAUGAUUCUAAGGUAGCCUGUCAAUCUGUGUAGACAUACGCCUCCAGGGGGCGGAGCCAAAGCUAAAAAUCUGUUUCUCAGGAACCGUACAAGCUACGAAGCUCUCCUUUGGCAUGUAUCAUCUAUGGCCUAUGUUCUAAUGUUUGACAGAAGGAAAAUGUGAUAUGCAAAUUUUUGCGAUCGCUAUUAGCCAAUCAGGUUCCAGCAAGCUUUUGACAGGCUAAACAAUCACCAAUCAGGACGAUACUUAUAACCUACAUGUAUCUCAGGGCCUUCUAUCAUCCAUUAAAAUAUGGCGUUGAUUGGCCUCAAGGGGGCGCUAUAGCAGAAAAUCAGUUAUAUCUAAAGGUACAAGUAGCCUAGGCUUGUUAUUCUUUUUUAGUUGCAUACUUUGCUGUAGCCUUUACAACUUUGUAAUUACAUAUGUUUACCAAAAAUGCAAAGAUUUUCAUCAGUGGCCAAAAGACUAAAAAUUGCUCUUUUCGAACUUGUCUUUAAGUCCUUAAUCAAUCAAAACAAAUUUGGUCUUGAUGCAAUCUUGAGACCCUGUAGGUAAAUAAUUAUCAAAAAAAUCUUGACAUUUUAACUAUUUGAGGCCCAUAAACCUUGAUCAAACAUGUACGUGAAAGCCUUUUCAGAGUUAUUUGGCCAAAACUCUGUCAAAGUUUAAAACAUGCCAAAACUGUUGAAGCUACUAAUUAACAAUGACAUUUGAAGUACAUGUGCCAAGUAUGAGCCAAAUAAGUCUUCAGUAGGCUCUACAGUGAAAAAAUAACUAUUUUCAAUUUAUUCUAUUUAUCGCUAUUUUCCAACCUAAAUGGACAGAAGACAGGAACCUUUCACCCUAUCAACACACAAAUUUAUACACAUAUAUAGACUGAUAAUCUGAUCUUGAUUGCAAAUUUUCAGCCAAAUCGGACAUGUUUUGCCUCUACAACGGCUGGAAAACUACAGCAAUUUUGUAGGCCUCAAGCCUGUAUUAUCGCUUUUUUCAAAUCUAAAAGGACAGAAGUCAGGAACCUUUGACCCUAUCGACACAUAAAUUGAUUUACAUAUAUAGACUGAUAUUGUGAUCUUGAUUGCAAAUUUUGAGCCAAAUCAGAUAUUUUUUGCCUCUAAUAUGGCCAAAGAGCAACAGCCAUUUUGUAGACCAUAAGCC
Astyanax mexicanus (Mexican tetra) is the source of this 1858-nucleotide long non-coding RNA. RefSeq lists it as uncharacterized. Lineage: Eukaryota; Metazoa; Chordata; Actinopteri; Characiformes; Acestrorhamphidae. The transcript is spliced from 3 exons. The record is from RefSeq and is a predicted model, not a curated record.